This 1328-nucleotide long non-coding RNA is filed under the name Cyanistes caeruleus (blue tit). Its description in RNAcentral is "lncRNA (ENSCCEG00000021058.1)". The record is from RNAcentral. Lineage: Eukaryota; Metazoa; Chordata; Aves; Passeriformes; Paridae.
CUGACGUGGUCAGCAAGCUCCCAGGGUCACAUGAAGACUCGUUUACACAUUCUCACAAAAACACAAGGGAUAUGUCCUGCAUAUGCAGGAACAAAAAAGGAAGGAUGUGAUUUUGCUUCUUAUGCAUUUGAUAUUUUCCUGGGGUCCUGGAAAAGGAGGUAUUUCAGCAUGGAUUUGCAGAGGGACUUCUCACUUGUGUGACUGAGAGCAGGAAGGUCAGCUGUAGGUCAGCAUGGACUUUGGUCUAGGCUGUUAUUAUUCAGUGCUGUUCUUUCACGCUUCCAUUCCCAUACAAAGCUGAUUUCUGCAUGCAGCAGAUCUUUGCAUUCACAGAAUAUGCUCUUAAUGCAAAAUAAACUGGUCUGGUCUUUGGAGACUGAGAGCCUCAGCAGGGUGUGGGACAAGGAGAGAUGAAAGGAGACCUGGGAUGCUACAGGGAAGCAACAGGCCAAAGAGAGGGGCAGCUGCAUCAUUCUUAAAACAAGGCACCCUUGGAGACACGCUUCCCUACAGAAGUGGAGUUGCAGUGUGUUUCUGAGGCAUUUGAUGCUCCCUUGAGUGAGAUUGAUUUUGGGAAGAACAGCUGGAGGUUGGAGCAGAGACAGCAGUGCUGUGUGAGAGUGGGGCAAGAAGUGAUUUGCUGCUGGAAAAUCUCAUUGUGGCUGCCCAACUGCAUCAGGGGGCCAGAAGUCUUAUUUUUCUGGGAAGGAUCCUGAUUCUAGUCUGGAGACCAAGUGCAAAGUUUAGUUGGAAUUCCCUACAAAUUUUGGAAAUAUUCAAAAAAUUUCAUCAGUUCCUGUACUGUUUCAGGGCCAGUAUGGGGCUACGUAGGGCUCAUGUUGGCUGCAGUUUCUCACCCAGGAGGAGCUUCUUCACCCUGCUGAAUAACUUGCAGUGUGUAGCAGACCCAGAAUCUGAAAUGUAAGAGCAGCGGGUCAGGGGAGCGAGGGUUCAGUGGAGUAAACUGCUGUGGCCAGUCAAAGCUGGGACUCUGGAAGGGGUCACACGCUUGGGACUGUGCUGUGAGCUCCCACCCCAACAGUGGGAACAACUUUUGCAUAAUUCAGUUACACCUUGGAAGCAGUUAAAGCAAUUAAACAGCAAACUUGGCAUAAUUACUAGUUAAUAGUCAAAGCCAGUGCUCCUAAAGUGUAAAUUGUUUUGGUAUUGAUCUAAGCUUACACUGUCAGCAUUUUGUAGAGACUGAACUUUAAGUGCUUAAUUCAGCUGUAUGCAACCAUUAAUUUUGUUUUUUAUCUGCAAACAAAGGUGCAAGUGGUUAUUCUAUUUUUCUGCAAUAAUAAAAUCAAUUAAACUGUUUUCCCCCA